AAUAGUGUUCUAUAGGGCUCUGGUCUAAAGUAGUGCACUAUAUAGGGAAUAGUGUUCUAUAGGGCUCUGGUCUAAAGUAGUGCACUAUAUAGGGAAUAGUGUUCUAUAGGGCUCUGGUCUAAAGUAGUGCACUAUAUAGGGAAUAGGGUUCUAUAGGGCUCUGGUCUAAAGUAGUGCACUAUAUAGGGAAUAGGGUUCUAUAGGGCUCUGGUCUAAAGUAGUGCACUAUAUAGGGAAUAGGGUUCUAUAGGGCUCUGGUCUAAAGUAGUGCCCUAUAUAGGGAGCCGUUUCAGGCGCUGCCAGAGUCUUCAAAGCCCAUGUCCCCUAGAGGGUUUCUGAAGGGUAGGUACAGGAGUUUUCCCUGACCCCUCUGUAACCUGCAGGAUAAACUCUAUGCCAUAGAACGGACCUCCCAAUUCAUGUCAAUGAUGGCAUACUGGGUGUAGAGUUUCCAUUUUUAUAUUCCAGACCGGACCGAUAAAGAGCUGUUGGCUAUAUGUUUUCCUUUUUUAAACCUCUCAUCUAUGACCUCUAGGUGUUAUAAACCUCUCAUCUAUGACCUCUAGGUGUUAUAAACCUCUCAUCUAUGACCUCUAGGUGUUUCAAACCUCUCUAGGACCUCUUGUUGCAGCCCUGACCUAGCGCACCUGAUUCAAAUAGUCACGGGCUUGAUGAUUGGUUGACAAGUUGAAUCAGGCGUGAUAGCCCUGGAAUAGUUCAAAUACAUGGAACGGCUAGAGGCCCAGAGGAGAGGUUUGGAAAAGGCUGGAGGUCCCAGAGGAGAGGUUUGGAAAAGGCUGGAGGUCCCAGAGGAGAGGUUUGGAAAAGGCUGGAGGUCCCAGAGGAGAGGUUUGGAAAAGGCUGGAGGUCCCAGAGGAGAGGUUUGGAAAAGGCUGGAGGUCCCAGAGGAGAGGUUUGGAAAAGACUGGAGGUCCCAGAGGAGAGGUUUGGAAAAGCCUGGAGCCCCGGAGGAGAGGUUUGGAAAAGGCUGAGCUAUAUAUUUGCCAAACAACUUUACACGCCUGUUUCACACACAGGAAGGUAUUGCAGUUGAAUCACAAUUCAUCUUGAUUAAAACAAAUGAUAAUGAAAGAUUUGUACUUCUGUGUGUAGUAACCAGGUAUUAUUAUGUACUGUGUUAGUUUAGAGGUGUUACAGGGUGAAAGAUGGGGGUAACAGGAAGAGGAGGAGUCGAAGUGCAGUGGGCUGGAUGACAGGAAGAGGAGGAGUCAUAGGGCAGUGGGCUGGAUGACAGGAAGAGGAGGAGUCAUAGGGCAGUAAGGCUGGAUGACAGGAAGAGGAGGAGUCAUAGGGCAGUGGGCUGGAUGACAGGAAGAGGAGGAGUCAUAAGGCAGUGGGCUGGAUGACAGGAAGAGGAGGAGUCAUAGGGCAGUGGGCUGGAUGACAGGAAGAGGAGGAGUCAUAAGGCAGUGGGCUGGAUGACAGGAAGAGGAGGAGUCAUAGGGCAGUGGGCUGGAUGACAGGAAGAGGAGGAGUCAUAGGGCAGUGGGCUGGAUGACAGGAAGAGGAGGAGUCAUAAGGCAGUGGGCUGGAUGACAGGAAGAGGAGGAGUCAUAGGGCAGUGGGCUGGAUGACAGGAAGAGGAGGAGUCAUAAGGCAGUGGGCUGGAUGACAGGAAGAGGAGGAGUCAUAGGGCAGUGGGCUGGAUGACAGGAAGAGGAGGAGUCAUAGGGCAGUGGGCUGGAUGACAGGAAGAGGAGGAGUCAAAGGGCAGUGGGCUGGAUGACAGGAAGAGGAGGAGUCAAAGGGCAGUGGGCUGGAUGACAGGAAGAGGAGGAGUCAUAGGGCAGUGGGCUGGAUGACAGGAAGAGGAGGAGUCAAAGGGCAGUGGGCUGGAUGACAGGAAGAGGAGGAGUCAGGGCAGUGGGCUGGAUUCAAACCCUUAUACCAAUAAAUGGCAAUACUGCCUCGAUAUGGACAGCAAGACGGCCGUUAGACCCGAUGAGGUGUUUCUACUCAUGAGCUUAGCUAGACAUUGUCACCAUGACAUCACCGACUAGUGUGAUCGAGGAUUUUCUAUUGGAGAAGCCGUUCCUGCCUACCUUCCUACUGAGAAGGUCUCUUUGAGAUGGCGGUGGAGAUUCCUGUCUGUAAGCGCC
This is a long non-coding RNA of Oncorhynchus keta (chum salmon), 2120 nucleotides long. RefSeq lists it as uncharacterized. NCBI's taxonomy places the organism in Eukaryota, Metazoa, Chordata, Actinopteri, Salmoniformes, Salmonidae. The transcript is spliced from 3 exons. The record is from RefSeq and is a predicted model, not a curated record.